RNAcentral lists this long non-coding RNA (1203 nucleotides) under Cottoperca gobio. Its description in RNAcentral is "lncRNA (ENSCGOG00000014141.1)". The record is from RNAcentral. Lineage: Eukaryota; Metazoa; Chordata; Actinopteri; Perciformes; Bovichtidae.
GUAAAAGCUGCAGGUCUUCAGAACUGUCUUUUGCGCUUUGACUUGACUCGAGUUGAUUUGUGAAACCUGGAAAGUUGAAAUCUUGGAUAUCUGAUCGCCUUGAAAACAACUUCUGGAUUACUGAGCUGAAGAAAAACCUUUAGAGUACAUCUACAGAAACCUUUCUGGUUGAAAACAUGGCUUCUGCUGGAUUCCCUUGUGGAGGAGCGCCUGCUGACCCGGGUCACUCGGUGGUUCUUUGCUUUUGCAGGUGGAUCUUCGUGGCCUCUGAACAACAACUGCCCCGACACUGAGAGUCCUCCCGACGACCCCGUCCUGCCUGACUACGAGGACGAGGACGCUGUGGACGGGCUUCAGGAAGCGUCUAGCACUUGGACAUUUUUUGUAGCGUCUCCUCAUCGAUCUUUCUUUAUUUCAUCCUAAGGGCCAGAGUUGCCCCAGGUAGCCCUUGCGUCUGGCAGGGCUAUCGACCCAUCGUACAGGAAGCCUUUGCGUCUGGCAGGGCGAGGAACCUUCAGCUUGGUCGUGUGUUCAAAUGAACACAAUAUUCCUUCUCGCAGCACCAGUGGCUCCUGCUGGUUGGUCCGCAAUUUGCACAGCGGGAGUUAUCUUGAAUCACCAGUGAAGCUGGCAGCACUGUGUGUCAUGGAAGGCUGUCUGCAGUCCUUUCUACAUCAACACUAAAGAUAUCACUGAACACCACUGCACUGAUAAAAGAACAAGCAGGAGAAAAGCUACAUAAUCAAAGAGAAGACAUGGCACUUUAAUUUCAUACCACCUUCACUUGCCAAUUGACAGGUAAUGCACUGGACCCCUACAAAAACAUCAAAGCACAACGUAGUUCAGCCACUCCUUAUCUACGUUCUCUUCAAAGCCACCAGACUUCAGUCACAACAGUCACUUCACCUUGCAGAACACAGGAGCUGCUAGUCUACCGCUGCCUCCAUCUGUUAGCUCAUGUUAUUGUGUAAGCAAAAGGUCUGACCCAUCCCUUUAAUAUGGCCAACAAAGGUAUGUUAACUAUAAAACAUUUCUUUGCAAUAAUUCAAAGAAUAUUUGUCUUACUUUACUCUUAUCUUCCUCCAGCACCAGAAAUCCUGAGUAACGGAGGGUAAAUAUCUGGAAAUCCUGGACUCCCUGAGAUGUCAACCAAACCACACAAAGCCAGCAUCUCACCGGUUUAUCAAUUCAAUAAAACACCCU